This 73-nucleotide transfer RNA is filed under the name Bacillus wiedmannii. RNAcentral describes it as "tRNA-Val". Lineage: Bacteria; Bacillati; Bacillota; Bacilli; Caryophanales; Bacillaceae. The record is from RNAcentral.
UCUCCCGUAGCUCAGCAGGGAGAGCGCCACCUUGACAGGGUGGAGGUCCCUGGCUCGAUGACAGUCGGUAUUA